This 1768-nucleotide long non-coding RNA is filed under the name Triticum aestivum (bread wheat). RNAcentral describes it as "long non-coding RNA (TAES_LNC015158)". The record is from RNAcentral. Lineage: Eukaryota; Viridiplantae; Streptophyta; Magnoliopsida; Poales; Poaceae.
GUACCUGUAUGCCAGUAAUAAUAGAACAAUUUCUGACACAAUUGUUUGUCCAUUUGUGGACAUCAGCCAAAAUAGGCAGGAGAGAGCACUAUCGAACUAAUCAUUUUUUUUACCCAACUAUGUAUGUGUUCUUUUUCAAGAACUGAUCCUGUAAUACAUACUGAAUGGCCACACAUGUAUGAUAUAAUGAACUAUAGGGCCUUAAAAGUGUGAUGAGAGUACAUUUUAUAAAGCUCCACAAGAUCACAUGAAGCCUCUGCCAAAUGAAAUAUACAAAAUACUGACAAAAAUUCACACUUUUGCACAAAGGGCAUACUUUUGAACAUGCUCGAUGACACCCACUGAACUUGCGCAAUUGACUGGUGGGAGCAAGCAACAACUUUGAAGUAUGCAAAGGCAUCUUGUUUCUCCAGAAAAAAGCAGGGGCACAUCUCCAUAUCAAUAAAUAGUUGCUGAUCCAUCAGUGAGCAUGCAUCACAAAGAAAAUGUUGAAAGAAAAACCAGGUGGACCGGGUGGACCAGCUACAACUCCUCCUCUGGACUGAUUGCUACGGCGAGGUGGAGCUGAUGGAGGCGGAGAUCACAAGCGGCACUGGGAUUUGGCCACUACAGGGAAUCCCAGCGACUACCAAGCCAUCCUUGAUGUACUAAUUAUGGUGAUGUAUUUUGUACUGCCAAAACACCUGCAAGAUGAACUGAAGGGGAGCGUCGUCACCUGCAAGCUGAACUGAAAAUGCCGGCUAAGGGGACCUGAAGAAUCACCAAAUGUUGAACUGAAUAUACACAAGUGAAGGAGCAUGAACGUACACGGUAGCUCUAUGUGUACACAACAAUAACUGAGCAUAUAUGUCUAAGAUGAAGGGUAACACACCUCAAGAUAGCAAUGGACUUCCAAUAUUCAUCUUUUUGAGCUGCUGCCUUUUAUUUUAUUUUUUGCAUCCUGCAAAAAGAAAAUGGACCAAAAUUUCAAAGAUGAACUGAAAAAGACUAACAUAAUUCAGUAGAGAUGGAUGUGAAAAAUGAUGAGCAUCCCAAAUAGUAUAAUCAUUGAGGCUGUGGUAAUUACAUCGUCCUUUACAUACUGAUGUUCUACUAGUAGUCUACUAAGUUGUACUUACGUGCAUCCACUUUUGGAAUUCAGAGUAAGAAGUAUUAGCUGAAACAAAACAGUACUCAUUUCAAGUAGGGAGUCAUGUUCUUGCGCCUACAUAUUACAAUCUUGAUUUCUUACUUUAGAUUCUAGUAUCAGAAUCCAAUGAUGAACAAGGCUUUAUAUACUACAGUGCAUUUCAUACUUCUUUGAAGUUUUAUUCAGAAUUUCCUAGGUCAAGGCUCUGGGCAAAUCUAUAGUUUCGGACUGAGCUUUUUUAUAUAUAAAGGUAUGAAAGGCAUAGUAUGAAGACAAGAAGAAUGGGGAGAGACCUGCAUGUGACAUACAUAACAAAAUGUUCAGAACUAGUAUCGCAGCAUAAUAAUAUGUGAGUACAAGUGUGCAGCACAACAACGCAAUUGUACAAGUGAUACCAGGGCACAAGUUAUCUGCAUUCCUUUGAUUACACUACUCUGGCUAGAAUUUAGUAACUAACACUAGACUCCUAUCAAGAUAACCUGGUUCAGUCCAGCUCCAAAACAAUUCACUUUAUUAAGAUUAGAAGGAAUAGGAAACUCAAGCGUAUUCUCAGUUCAGAGAAGUGCAAGCAUUUUGAAUACCAAACAACAAAAAAUUAGCUCUCAUAAGCAUUUCAACAAGCACCUAUAGAGCAUCAAU